Molecule: ribosomal RNA, 438 nt
Filed under: uncultured bacterium
Lineage: Bacteria
Description: bacterial SSU rRNA
Rfam family: Bacterial small subunit ribosomal RNA
Source: RNAcentral
GCAGAACGCGAAGAACCUUACCUACUCUUGACAUCCAGAGAACUUAGCAGAGAUGCUUUGGUGCCUUCGGGGACUCUGAGACAGGUGCUGCAUGGCUGUCGUCAGCUCGUGUUGUGAAAUGUUGGGUUAAGUCCCGCAACGAGCGCAACCCUUAUCCUUUGUUGCCAGCGGUUCGGCCGGGAACUCAAAGGAGACUGCCAGUGAUAAACUGGAGGAAGGUGGGGAUGACGUCAAGUCAUCAUGGCCCUUACGAGUAGGGCUACACACGUGCUACAAUGGCGCAUACAAAGAGAAGCGACCUCGCGAGAGCAAGCGGACCUCAUAAAGUGCGUCGUAGUCCGGAUUGGAGUCUGCAACUCGACUCCAUGAAGUCGGAAUCGCUAGUAAUCGUAGAUCAGAAUGCUACGGUGAAUACGUUCCCGGGUCUUGUACACACCG